Molecule: ribosomal RNA, 495 nt
Filed under: uncultured bacterium
Lineage: Bacteria
Description: partial 16S ribosomal RNA
Rfam family: Bacterial small subunit ribosomal RNA
Source: RNAcentral
GACGAACGCUGGCGGCGUGCCUAAUACAUGCAAGUAGAACGCUGAAGGAGGAGCUUGCUUCUCUGGAUGAGUUGCGAACGGGUGAGUAACGCGUAGGUAACCUGCCUGGUAGCGGGGGAUAACUAUUGGAAACGAUAGCUAAAACCGCAUAAGAGUAGAUGUUGCAUGACAUUUGCUUAAAAGGUGCAAUUGCAUCACUACCAGAUGGACCUGCGUUGUAUUAGCUAGUUGGUGAGGUAACGGCUCACCAAGGCGACGAUACAUAGCCGACCUGAGAGGGUGAUCGGCCACACUGGGACUGAGACACGGCCCAGACUCCUACGGGAGGCAGCAGUAGGGAAUCUUCGGCAAUGGACGGAAGUCUGACCGAGCAACGCCGCGUGAGUGAAGAAGGUUUUCGGAUCGUAAAGCUCUGUUGUAAGAGAAGAACGAGUGUGAGAGUGGAAAGUUCACACUGUGACGGUAUCUUACCAGAAAGGGACGGCUAACUACGUG